This is a long non-coding RNA of Planococcus citri (citrus mealybug), 5215 nucleotides long. RefSeq lists it as uncharacterized. Lineage: Eukaryota; Metazoa; Arthropoda; Insecta; Hemiptera; Pseudococcidae. The transcript has 4 exons. The record is from RefSeq and is a predicted model, not a curated record.
UAAUUUCGAAUUGUAAGUUAGGUAUUAUUUGGCAUUUCUUCCAUACCCAUCAAGUUUUAAUAAUUCGAAAAAUGGCAAUAAUUUGUAAAGAGUGCAAUAAGCCAAAAUUUUCUCAUUUUUUUGGUUUACUUUUGUAUAAUAACGAAAUAGGUACUUCGAUAUUAGCCAAACACCAUACGCAUCAAAUUGUCCAUGAACUUACGCAUCGUCCAAGUUUCAGUAGAGACGUGAUGAUGUUGUAAAAUAUCAUUCUCAGAAGUAUUCUUACUUGAUAAAAAUUUUGUAUAUUAGCUGGAGAGAGAGGAUGUCUCCGACAGGUUGAAUGGAAUAGUCAAACUGUACAACAACUUUAUGUUUUAUCUGAUUGUAUUAUGUUAAUGUUGUUUCAUAAAAUCCAUUGUGCAUAAGUAUUAUGUGCUUGCUCUACUUUGUAUGCAUGGAUAUGAUGUACGUAAGUAGUUAUGCUCGCGCCUUUUCUUGAUUUUUUUUUUUUUUUUCUUAAAAUUGAUUUAAUAAUUUUUUUAAUCAUGCGAAAUUAAUAAAGAGAUAAGUAAAUAGAGUCAAAUAUUAAUUUUCUGAUUUUCCUUUCCAUUCCUCACUUUUAAUACCUCUUAUAAUUUCAACAAAAAUUACUUCAAAAUUCUACUAUUCCGUUCUCCCUUCAAUUAAAAAUUACGAGCUCUGACAAUGAGAGGAUUACGAGUAAAAGUUGGUAUUUAUUGGUAGGGCACUGUAUAACAAUUCUUUAUAAGUUUAUAGUAUCUCAAUUCCAGUUCGAAUUAAAUUAUAAAAUACAAUUUAUGUAGAAUUCAAACACAUUUAUAUUUAUAUAUGUAUUCAAUACGUAUGACUUCAAGAUUUGAAUGGAGGGUUAAAAAUUAUUCUUCAAUUAUUUCAAUUUACUUCACUGCUGAUUGAGCACUGAUUAAUUCAAAUAAUUUUAAAUUAUUCAUUUUUCACAAAAAUUCUGAUUUUUAAAUUUGAAAUUGAUAUUAAUUUCCCAGAAGGAUUCAAUGCUUAAAAUCGCAUGAAUAAUUUCAGGGAAAAAAACUAGCCAUUUCCACUAUUUUUAAUGAUUUAGGAUUUAUCAUUAAAUUUUUUUCAGAAAUUAUGGUUUUGGAGUUUCAAUAACUAUUUACAUUGAAAUUUGAUGGACAUCUAUCUAUACCACAGUACCUAUCGAAGUAAUCAGCCUAAUUACCUGAAUCUUUCAUAUUUCUUGCUGCUCAUCUCUAAUUUUUUUCGAGUUGAAAGUAACCUUACACGUAUUAAAAACUCAAUUUCACAGCAAUAGUUAGUUACUUAUCACAUCUUGAGAAUAUUAUGAUAAGUAGGUAUAGGUAGGUACUAAGAACACAAAUGCACUAUUAUCUACCUUUCAUUCACAGUCUCGUGCGGUCGAUGUGCUUUCCAACGUUAAUCACGAUCUAGAGAUAUGAUAAAAGCACAUUUCUUUCGUAAAAUUGCAAAUAGAAUUUGAAAAACGAACAAUAAUCAUGUGAUAAUUGGGUAACAACUAUCGUAUUUUAAAUGAAACGAUCAAAUAAGCAUACUUACCUAGAUAAGAUAUAGGUAAUGUUAUGUAAGUUGCUGUGUAAAUGUACUCGAGUGUGAAUUUUAUUGGAGUUCAUGAACAUCGCAAAGUUGAAAAAAAUUCUUGAAACGAGUAUUUUCUAUGAUAGUGACGAUUAUUGGUGAAACUAAAAAUUUUUACUGAUAAGUUGAAAAUUACAAUUUAUAUUGAGACGAUUUGUAAGUAUGUAAUUAUUGGAUAAUUUUUUUUUAUUUUUUGACAAAAUUAAAAUUAUUAUAGCAAGAUGUAAACAUUGCAUAACUCUUUGAAACACAAGUUUUUUUUUCAAUUGAACGGCUGGUUUCAUUAAGCAAUUAUACUUAAGCAUUCAAAUUAAAUAAGUACUCUUUGGAAAUAUAUCGAAAUGAUAUUCUAACUGUAAAAACAUGUGAUGAGUAACAGACUUGUAACUUGUAAGCUACAUAUAUACAUAAUAAGCGUUGUUGAAAUGACUUUUUUAAAUCAGAGAAUAUUUUAUGCAUUUAUUACAAAAAUACAAAUAGCCCAUAGGUAGGUACCUAUACAUAUUACAUACCUAUGUACAAUUUUUCAACAUUUUGUGUAACAUGAAAUUCUUCGCUCAAUGGGGCAAUUGGCUUCAGAUGUUAUGUAAAGUUCAAAAUAUGUACUUCCAACUCCACCUUUCAUGUCUAAAGUAGUACCGUAGCAUUUACAUUCCUUGAGCAAAUUUUCGAUUACAAUAUAAGUAAUCACGCAAUCGUUUUGUGUUUUGCCUGAUGGAUAUUUCACUUGAACAGUCGUCUUCCGGAAAAUAAGUUUAUCUUUCUUCACCUUUUCUACAAACAUUUGUCUAAAAAAUUAGAAUCAUUAUAUUAUUAGCUAUACAUAUAGGUACCUAGUUAUAGGUAUAUUUAGAACAGCUGUCUGUCACCUAUAACCGAAUUCUAAAUCCAAAGAUCAAAAAUACUCACAAAUCGCCAUUUUCUCUGCUUCCAUAAGUUGUAUUAGAAUGAAGACACUCCGUUUUUUCGCCACCGAAUCCAAUAAAACCAAAUGAUGGCACCGGCAAAGAAGGAGGAACAAUAGUCGAGUUUUUCGAUGAUCCGAUAACGAAACACUUCGCGACACAAACACUCACAAUAAUGAGAAAAAAUAUCCUCAAAAACGUUCUAAUUCCAAUGAAAAUCAUAUCCAAAGCAAAUCGCAAUUAUAAGUACCUAUUUUAUGUAUUAUUUCAAAAAACAACAGGUAUAUGAACCCGAAUUGAUUUGCAGCAAAAAAAAACGAAAGAUGGAACACAUUAGCUACAAUUGGCUCGUUUUCUCCACGUUAUUGCGGUUAUUUUCAAACCAACGUGCUCGGCGCUCGCAGAACUGCAUUCUUAUGUUUUCUCUUUCACAUUAAAAAAUAUCUUACAUGUAAUCCGAGUACCUAAGUAAGUGCGUGAUUCAUCAAAUAAAAUAUAUUCGAUCGAAAAUUUAAAAAAUGAGAAAAAAAAUCCCAAGAAUAUUAUUCCUAUAAUGUUUCUUAAAUACCUAUUUAUGCUUAAAUAUGCGAUGCUUGAGCUCUGGGCACAGAAUUAGUACCUACUUAACUAUCUACUUUAAAUCUGGGUAAGAAGAGAUCGUCUUAUUGUCGAGUGAUGAAGUUAAUUUUGAUGGAAGCAGUUAUGCCAGGUAAGUUGUUAGUGGGUGGGUUCACUUAUACCUGCGGAUUAUUUUUCAAAUUUAUUUAGGUAGGCAUAUUAUUUCUGAUAUAUUGACUGUGGGUUAAAAAUUAAUUGAGAAACACAGGUAGAGAAAAUUCACAUAUUAAAUUUUCCUUACAGUAAACUGAUUUCGAACAUUUGGAGUGUUCACUGCGGUGCCAAAAGGGAGGGGAGCAAAACGAAAAAGUUUCAAAUUAAAGUGGCUUUAUAAAUAUCGAUGUAAAACCCAACUCCUUCUUUUCCUCGAGCGACGAUCAGCAAAGAAUUAUGUACCUAAAAACGGAACCUCUCGGUUACUCAGUCAUCAAUUUUUCAAUUGGACUAAAAAGUUGCACCGAGAUCAAUAAAAAAAUAUGAUGUCCUGCUAGAAUUUGAAUUUUCCAAACUACGUAUAGGUAAAAAAUGUCGUACCCAAACAGAUAUGAAAUAAGAGUCAAAUUAUGUUAAUUAGCUUAGAAAAUAAUUAUGGUUUCACGUUAUUUUUCUCCAAGUUCAGUGACGUUUCAACGCCCAAUUUUGACACCCAUCAGGAAAACAGUAUUUCCUAGGUACCAUUGCUUUCAAAAAAAAUGUAUUGAAUGCCAAAAAAUGUAGGUAUGUAUUUUCUUAAAAACUCGUUUCAGUAUCCAUCUAUCAUUGCUGCUCCAGACUGAAGUGAUGUGUCUGAAUGUUUGCCUAUCGAUGAGAAAGAACGGCGAUAAACGUAGAUAUGUAUCUUUGUGAUCAGUCAGAAACCACUUACUAUGGGUCAUUAAUGAAAGUUUCAUCGAGUAUGACGGAAUGCAUAUCUACCUAUUCACGUAAAUAAGAGACGAGUAUAGGUAAGCAAAAAGUUACCUGGGCAGAGAUACCCGAAAUAGCUAUUCACCGGGAAAAAAAUUCAUAAAUUCAUUCGCGAAUUUCCUAUACCGGCUUGCUAUCAAUGCACUGUACAUACGUAAUACGUAUUAUCAUUCAUAAUAAUAAGUACAGUAUACCUAUCUGAAUUUGACACUUCCAAGUACUUAAAUACAUAGCAAAACAAAUUUAUAUCACCAAAGCUAGUAGGUAGUAUAGGUACCUAACCCACGCAGGAUCAGCUAUACUUACUUACAAUGCUAAUUAGCGACAAAUAAAAAUAAUCUUAUCAUUUGACAGUAAAAAGAACUUUUUAUAUUGGAAUUGAAGAUAAUGUUUCAAUUUUCUACGAUCACGCCAAACAUACAUCUGACUUUAAGCACUAUACAAAUAUUAUAAAGGAAAUGAAUAUAAUACUUAUAAUUCUUAAAUUCGUUAUAGGUACUUAUGUUUGUUCAAUGAAUCAUAAUUUAUACUCACUUUGAUUGCCAUGAUUUCUAUUAAAUAACUGAUCGUCGAAAUUAUUGCAACAGUAUCGCGGGUUCAUUCUUUUUCAAAGCUUAAGUUUUCAAGAUGAAUUUCCGUGCAGUUGGAAUGUUAACAAAAGUUGUUUUUCUUGUAAUUUUUCUUGUCUGUUUUUCAGAGAGUUUUCUCGUCAUUCCUUUGAAAAAUUUCAAAAGCAAUGCUAAAUUUUUGCAGUCAUCUCAAUCCUCUGUUGGAUCAAGCGGAGGAAGCAAAAAUUGCGCCCAUUCUAAUAAAACUUUUGGGAAACGAGAAAAUGGAGAUUUGCAAACAUAUGUGGAAAAAAUAGAAAAAAGUAAAAACUGGAUGGGAAAGAAAGUUGUCGUCGAAGUGAAUUAUCCAUCAGGCAAAACCGAAAAUCAUUGCGAUAUUACUUAUAUUUUAGUAGAAAAUAUAAACCAGAACUGUGGGUGCAAAAAAGAAAAGGUAGAGUUGAAAGGUGGCGGACCUCAUUUUAAAUAUUUUAAUAUUUCAAUCACAUCAGACUCCGGAUGUUCUAAUGAGCAUAAAAUUUACGGUUACACAAAUUGUUGAAAAUUAAUGUUACAUGUACUAUUUUUAAUGCUUGUGCCCAUUCUUGUGCCUAUAUAUAAUAAAUGGUUUUCUUUCUGAAA